This 108-nucleotide ribosomal RNA is filed under the name Castor canadensis (American beaver). Lineage: Eukaryota; Metazoa; Chordata; Mammalia; Rodentia; Castoridae. The record is from RNAcentral.
AUCUAUCGCCAUACCACCCUGAAAGUGCCCAAUCUCAUCUGAGCUCUGAAGCAAAGCAGGGUCAGCCUGGUUAGUACUUGGAUGGGAGGAAAAAGAGUGAAAUUGAAG